RNAcentral lists this ribosomal RNA (254 nucleotides) under uncultured bacterium. RNAcentral's name for it is "partial 16S ribosomal RNA". It matches the Rfam family "Bacterial small subunit ribosomal RNA", at positions 524 to 776 of the family's 1533-position model. The record is from RNAcentral.
UACAGAGGGUGCGAGCGUUGUUCGGAAUCACUGGGCGUAAAGGGCGCGUAGGUGGUGGCUUAAGCGUGCGGUGAAAGCUCGGGGCUCAACCCCGAGUCGGCCGUGCGAACUGGGCUCACUGGAGCAUAGUAGAGGCAGGUGGAAUUCCGGGUGUAGCGGUGGAAUGCGUAGAGAUCCGGAAGAACACCGGUGGCGAAGGCGGCCUGCUGGGCAGUAGCUGACGCUGAUGCGCGACAGCGUGGGGAGCAAACAGG